This 122-nucleotide small nucleolar RNA is filed under the name Saccharolobus islandicus REY15A. RNAcentral describes it as "Sulfolobus islandicus REY15A non-coding RNA". The record is from RNAcentral. Lineage: Archaea; Thermoproteati; Thermoproteota; Thermoprotei; Sulfolobales; Sulfolobaceae.
AAAAAGAGAAGAUACAGUGAAAGUAUCACUGCGUUCAAGAAAGAAUUAAAAGCACUGAGCUUUGAGCCAAUUUAUGGAGAAUCAAUAAAGGAUAUCAUAGCUAGAUUAACGGUAAAAAUAGA